GGUCAAAAGAACUAAGGCGUUCGGUGGAUACCUAGGCACCCAGAGACGAAGAAGGGCGCAAAUACCGGCGAAACGCUUCGGGGAGCUGGCAAUGAGCUUUGAUCCGAAGAUCCCCGAAUAGGGCAACCUCUAGCACUACCUCCAUAAUUCAUAGGGAGGCAAGAGAGAACCCGGUGAACUGAAACAUCUAAGUAGCCGGAGGAAAAGAAAGCAAAAGCGAUUCCCCUAGUAGCGGCGAGCGAAAAGGGACCAGCCUAAACCUGAACCUAGUUCAGGGGUCGUGGGAAGACUAAUACUGUUCCUUCUUCUGUCACUUAUGACACAAGACUGAAUAGCAGGCAGUAGCAAAGACUUUAUAGUCAGAGCACAAGAAUUCAAAGUUUAAUACGAAGCAGCUGAAACCUGUUACCAUAGAAGGUGAAAGUCCUGUAGUAAAAAAUUCUUUGACUUUAUCUUAUAGUCUAAUCCCGAGUAGCAUGGGGCACGUGAAAUCCCGUGUGAAUCUGCGAGGACCACCUCGUAAGGCUAAAUACUCCUGGGUGACCGAUAGCGAAAUAGUACCGCGAGGGAAGGGUAAAAAGAACCCCCGUUGGGGAGUGAAAUAGAACAUGAAACCGUACGCUGACAAGCAGUGGGAGGGGCAUUUAGUCCUGACCGCGUGCCUGUUGAAGAAUGAGCCGGCGACUUGUAGGAAUUGGCGAGGUUAAGAAUUAACAUUCGAAGCCGCAGCGAAAGCAAGUAUGAAUAGUGCUAAUCAAAAGUCAUUUCUUACGGACCCGAACCCGGUCGAUCUAACCAUGUCCAGGAUGAAGCUUAGGUAACACUAAUUGGAGGUCCCGACCGACCGAUGUUGAAAAAUCGGCGGAUGAGGUGUGGUUAGGGGUGAAAUACCAAUCGAGAUCGGAGCUAGCUGGAUCUCCCCGAAAUGCGUUGAGGCGCAGCGGUGACGAAGAGCUACGUUGUGGUAAAGCACUGUUUCGAUACGGGCUGCGAAAGUGGUACCAAGUCGUAGCAAACUCUGAAUACAAUGUAUUGACUUUCCGUGAACCAGUGAGUCUAGCGGGGAUAAGCUUGUUAGACAAAAGGGAAACAGCCCAGAUCACCAGCUAAGGCCCCUAAAUGGCCACUAAGUGGAAAAGGAUGUGAGAAUGCAUAAACAACCAGGAGGUUUGCUUAGAAGCAGCCACCCUUUAAAGAGUUCGUAACAGAACACUGGUAAAGCGUUCUUGCGCCGAAAAUAACCGGGACUAAGUGGCCUGCCGAAGCUGUGAGUUACAGCUAUGCCUUUCGAUUCCGAAGAAACCCCCCCCGUCUUCUUGCCAUCUCUUCUUAUUUCUUCUGUCGAAGACAUUUCUUCGAACCGGAAGAAAAAUGGCACAAAAAAGGGGAGCUUUUUUUUUAAAGCAAAGGGUAAACUGGAAUCGCUGCCAUAACUGUUGCGGUAGGGGAGCGUUUCGUUUUCGGGUGAAGUUUUGCCGAUAGGCAAGGUGGACGAAACGAAAGUGAGAAUGUCGGCUUGAGUAACGAAAACAUUGGUGAGAAUCCAAUGCCCCGAAAACCUAAGGGUUCCUCUACAAGGUUCGUCCAUGGGGGGUUAGUCAGGUCCUAAGGCGAGGCCGAAUGGCGUAGUCGAUGGAAAACAGGUUAAUAUUCCUGUACUUAUUUUUGUGGAAACGAGGGACGGAGGAGGCUAAGCUGGGGCUGUUUUUCGGAUUGCAGCGGAAGCGUUCAAGGUUUAUAGAAUUCGAAAAAAAACGAAUAGGUUACGCUAAUUUAAUUUCUCUGUUAGACUGUUAAAGGUUUGGCAAUAAUUUCAAGAGCUAACCAACCCUUAUGGGGCGACCAAGACGUGAUCCUUUGGUUAGAUUUAGGUGCAAGCCGGAUUUAAUCAAACUAGUGACGUCAAACUUCCAAGAAAAGCUCGGAUUUUGGCUAAGUGUAAUAACAAAGCACAACACAAGAAUAACCUGUACCUGAAACCGACACAGGUAGGUUGGUAGAGUAUACCAAGGGGCGCGAGAGAACUCUCUCUAAGGAACUCGGCAAACUGGCCCCGUAACUUCGGAAGAAGGGGCGCUCUUUUAGCUUAAAACUAAAUAGAGCCGCAGUGACCAGGCCCAGGCGACUGUUUAACAAAAACACAGGUCUCCGCAAAGUCGUAAGACAACGUAUGGGGGCUGACGCCUGCCCAGUGCCGGAAGGUUAAGGAAGUUGGUUAAAGAUUUCUUGAAGCUGACGACCGAAGCCCCGGUGAACGGCGGUCGUAACUAUAACGAUCCUAAGGUAGCAAAAUUCCUUGCCAGGUAAGUUCUGGCCUGCACGAAAGGCGUAACGAUCUGGGCGCUGUCUCGGAGAGAGGCUCGGUGAAAUAGACUUGUCCGUGAAGAUGCGGACUAAUAUUACCUGGACAGAAAGACCCUAUGAAGCUUGACUGUAUCCUGGAAUUGGGUUUGGGCUUUUCUUGCGCAGUCUAGGUGGGAGGCUAUGAAGACUUCCUUCCGGGGGAGUUGGAGCCGUCAGUGAGAGACCACUCUGGAAGAGCUAAAAUUCUAAUGGUGUUCCUUGAAUCAGGACACUUGACAGUUUCAGGUGGACAGUUUUACUGGGGCGGUAGCCUCACAAAAGGUAACUGAGGCGUGCAAAGGUUCUCUCAGCCUGGACGGAAAUCAGGCAUUGAGUGCAAAGGCAGAAGAGAGCUUGACUGCAAGACCUACAAGUCGAGCAGGGGCGAAAGCCGGUCUUAGUGAUCCGACGGUGCCGUGUGGAAGGGCCGUCGCUCAACGAAUAAAAGUUACUCUAGGGAUAACAGGCUGAUCUUCCCCAAGAGUCCAUAUCGACGGGAAGGUUUGGCACCUCGAUGUCGGCUCGUUCUAGCUCAGGGCUGUAGUAGGUCCUAAGAGUUGGGCUGUUCGCCCAUUAAAAGAGUACGUGAGCUGGGUUCAAAACGUACGUGAGACAGUUUGGUCCAUAUCCGGUAGUAUCGCAGGAAUAUUGAGGGGAUUUGAUCAUAGUACGAGAGGACCUGGGAAAGCGAACCGCUGGUCUAUCAGUUCUCACUCCAGUGGGAAACGCUGAGUAGCCAUGUUCGUAACAGAUAAGCGCUGAUAGCGUCUAAGUGCGAAACUGACCCCAAGAUGAAUAUUCCCAAUGAGGCCGCGGGAAGACAAUCCGAUAUAUAGGUGUUAGGUGUAAAAUCAGCGAUGGUUGAGCCAAGACAUACUAAAGGCCGAUUGAUUUUGAC
This 3241-nucleotide ribosomal RNA is filed under the name Staurocarteria cerasiformis. RNAcentral describes it as "LSU rRNA". It matches the Rfam family "Bacterial large subunit ribosomal RNA". Lineage: Eukaryota; Viridiplantae; Chlorophyta; Chlorophyceae; Chlamydomonadales; Chlamydomonadaceae. The record is from RNAcentral.